Molecule: non-coding RNA, 438 nt
Organism: Delphinapterus leucas (beluga whale)
Lineage: Eukaryota; Metazoa; Chordata; Mammalia; Artiodactyla; Monodontidae
Source: RefSeq, a predicted model, not a curated record
CCAUCUGUUAGAGGAAAAAAAGAGACAGAAGUUACCACCUAGACAAAUGUGGAUUCUCUACAGCUCACCUGCUGAUAAGGUGAAGAGGUAGUGCUGCAUCCUGUGACAUUGUCUUGCAAAUAACAGAUUGGCAAACAUUUAAAAGAGUGAUGCAAGGAUGUGGGGAAAUAGGAGCUCUCAUCUACUUCUGGUCAGUCACAUAAAUUUGUCAGGACAUACUGGAAGAAAAAGGACUAUCUCUUGUCAGGACAUACUGGAAGAAAAAGGACUAUCUCUUUGGUCAUAAAAGGGAACCAGGCACAGAGAAAGGGAUUCACCUACAAGCUAUUACCAAAGGAUGGCAUUCCCGAAGGCCCCGCGUGAAUGAAGAAACAUGGGGCCGGUGCUGCUCACCUUUCAGCUGAUGGUUCUCAGUUAGAAGCUCUCUCAUCUGCUGCA